This is a long non-coding RNA of Brassica napus (rape), 1434 nucleotides long. RefSeq lists it as uncharacterized. The transcript has 6 exons. The record is from RefSeq and is a predicted model, not a curated record. Lineage: Eukaryota; Viridiplantae; Streptophyta; Magnoliopsida; Brassicales; Brassicaceae.
UUAAUACUGAGGCUUGGAACGAUCCAAAAUUCUUGGAGACAUUUAAGAAGCCUGUGGACAAAAUGUAAUGUGAUGAGAAGAAAAGAGCUAAGAAAAGGGAAGGAACUUCAAUAGGAUCAGCUGAGAAAAAGGCAAAGCUAUCUGCAAGUGCAUAAGGCAAAAUUGUAAGGUCAAGUAAAAAGAGAUCGAUAAAGUUUCAAAGCUGCUCUAAAAAGAAAGUAGAAGUUGAAGAAAUCUCAACUGAUGAGGACUCUUCAUGUGAAGACGAAAUAGAAUUUGAAGAAAUCUAUAAUAUAAUGAGGAACUGAGCCGCAACGUCAGCAGGUAAGUGGACUCCACCUCUUUUUGUUCUUUUUUAAAAUGUGUCCUGUUAUGGGCUUGACAUAGAUUUUCUUUCCUGGGCUUACCGUUGAUGUCUUCUUUGCCGAUCUUUCACCCUAGAGACAAUGAAUCCUUGUCUCAACUCUUAGGCUCUCCUAUCGUUCAACGUAUCUGUCUUUAAUCUGGCUAAUAAAUGCUAUUGCCAUUUAACCAAAACGCUGUCGACCUCUCUGUUUCCUUCAUGCCAAAUCUAUAAAUUGGAGAAAGUUGAUCUCAUUCAUUCCUUGAUCGUCUUCUUCAUCGUGAUUUCAACCCUCUACGGUGUUUCCGCGGAUUCGGUAAAAGGUUGCGCUGAUUUUAUCGAGGCGAGUUCGUCUUUGGUCAGCUCUCGGAAAGGAGCAGAUUGGAAACUUGAUUAUUCUCACAUCACUUUUGAACUUCAAACAGUAGAUGGAUUGGUGAAGGACAGUACACAGUGUGCCCCUAAUGGCUACUAUUUCAUCCGUCUAUGACAAGGGCUCAUUCAUUUCUCAAGAUUAAUGGACCUGAAGGAUGGUCAUGGCAUCCAGAUAAGGUAACAUGUACCUCAAAUCGACCCCAGCUUCCAAAUUUUUUUUUGGAUCCCAAUCUCCCACCUAUCACAGAGUUCACAGCUAGAUGCUGUGGUGAAAGAAGCGACUUGGGAUGUAUAAAAAAGGAAAUAAGCUUUGUGAUGACAUGACAUCGAUCCUCACAUCUCCUGCUUAGUCUGCUAAACUAUCUGAUUUAUUGCCAACUACGAGAUUUUUUUAUGGUUUUCUCUUCUGACUUCUUAGCUGUUGAUUCUUAAUAAUAUGUGUUUUUUGAUUCAUGUUGUUUCAGAGAAAUGGCUAUCUCAGACACCGAGUGAACCUAUCAAAUCAUUCUUUAAGCCGGUGGAAAAGAGACGUAGCGUUCAAGUACAUGUUGAUGCCAUGAAACUCUCUUACAUCUGUGAUUGAAAGAUUCAUUUACGAUUUUUUCUAAUAAUAUUUAGAUAUGUUAGUUUUUAACAUUUUCUUACUGAGUUGUUGGUUGUCUACAUUUUCUGAUGAGAUUUAAUGUCAUUCAAUAAACAAGAAGAAAUCUGAGAUC